CCUACGGGAGGCAGCAGUGGGGAAUAUUGCACAAUGGGGGAAAACCCUGAUGCAGCGACGCCGCGUGGAGGAAGAAGGUCUUCGGAUUGUAAACUCCUGUUGUUGAGGAAGAUAAUGACGGUACUCAACAAGGAAGUGACGGCUAACUACGUGC
This 154-nucleotide ribosomal RNA is filed under the name uncultured bacterium. RNAcentral describes it as "partial 16S ribosomal RNA". It matches the Rfam family "Bacterial small subunit ribosomal RNA", at positions 338 to 508 of the family's 1533-position model. The record is from RNAcentral.